CUUCAGCGAGCCGAGCCACAACGGCGUCUCACGGUCCUUGCCGUAGGUGGCCAGCAGGGCCUGGGCCUC
RNAcentral lists this antisense RNA (69 nucleotides) under Amycolatopsis tolypomycina. Its description in RNAcentral is "ASpks TB sRNA". It matches the Rfam family "ASpks TB sRNA". The record is from RNAcentral. Lineage: Bacteria; Bacillati; Actinomycetota; Actinomycetes; Pseudonocardiales; Pseudonocardiaceae.